UACGUAGGAUGCAAGCGUUGUCCGGAAUUACUGGGCGUAAAGGGCGAGCAGGCGGCCUAUCAAGUCUGAUGUGAAAUCUCCCGGCUUAACUGGGAGGGGCCAUUGGAAACUGAUAAGCUAGAGUACAACAGAGGCUAACGGAAUUCCCGGUGUAGUGGUGAAAUGCGUAGAUAUCGGGAGGAACACCAGUGGCGAAGGCGGUUAGCUGGGUUGAAACUGACGCUGAGGCGCGAAGGCUAGGGGAGCAAACAGG
Molecule: ribosomal RNA, 253 nt
Filed under: uncultured bacterium
Lineage: Bacteria
Description: partial 16S ribosomal RNA
Rfam family: Bacterial small subunit ribosomal RNA
Source: RNAcentral